This 2676-nucleotide long non-coding RNA is filed under the name Manihot esculenta (cassava). Its description in RNAcentral is "long non-coding RNA (MESC_LNC000823)". The record is from RNAcentral. Lineage: Eukaryota; Viridiplantae; Streptophyta; Magnoliopsida; Malpighiales; Euphorbiaceae.
AGCAAAGACCAAAUUUUUAUCAAACGGACUCCAGAUGUUGAUGCUGACUUCAUGCUCAUCAAUUUCGAAAAGUCUACCUCUUUAUACUAGCGCUAUCUAUCAACGUCGUCAUCAAGCAACUGCUAGCAUAACAGCUGAAAGGAAUUUAAUUCUGGGUCAGAAGACAGGUCAUGGUUUUGCUCAAUGUAUAAUUUGGAUGUGCAUCCAUUAUUCAGAUAUAAAAGUAAAUGACAAAGAAGCAUAUACUGGACAUCCUUUAAUGAGACUACCUGCACAAAAUCUUUCCAUAUUGUCUGCUUCUUCUGUAAACAGAACGAGGGAUAAAAACUAUAAUUGCAAUAAUGUAAAAACUAGAGUCGAUUGUAUGCUUCUAAUACUUGUUUGAAAAGCACAAGGAAAUUGCUCAGAAAAAAUGAGCUUUUAUUUAUUUAAUAAGAUUGAGCUCUGACUUAGAUUUAAACUUUUACUGAACAAAGUUCCAUUCAAUAGCUGAAAUUUUGUACAAACAGCUAUAAAAUGUUAAAGCAGCUUCACAUCAUAUUAUUCACACUUACCAGUCACCUGAUACCUACGCUAGGGCCUGGACUGGCAUACUUCACUAUACUAAUUUUUUUCCUCGCUUUUUUACAAAGGAAAACCUUAUCUCACAAACCCACAUGAGAAAAGAAAUAUGAAAGGGGAAAGUUUGAUAGCCAUUUUCAUCAUUUAAGAGAAACUUCUGAAGUACAGCUGCUAAUUGGCAGAUCACUGGUUGUGCAUACCAUAGCCCUUUGCUGUAAAUGUCUCAAGCUCUGUUCCAUGCUAACUUGUACCAUCUCAGCCAGCAUUUUCUUUGCUUUACUAGAUUGAUCAUCUCCAUCUAUCUGGGAGAUAAUGUUGCACACAAUAUUCUCUAGUGUGUCUGGCUGAAGCUCGGAUCUCGGAUAUGGAGUAUCUCUCAAUAACUGUAACAGGGUUUGUGCCUUUAUCUGAGACUUAGGCGUUCCUUGGACAGUGAGCUCCAGAAGUCCAGGGAUCACACCUUCUCUCAGAAUCGGUUCUCUAUAUUUACAUCUAUCACUCUGACACAUGGUCAGUAAUGCCCCAACUGCAUGCUCUCGACUUUGGAGAGACCCAUUCUCUAGUACUUCAACAACAGCAAGAACUCCACCUUCUUCAGAUGUCAAAGCCGUUCUACCCUCAUCAAAACCCACCAUGGAUUCUAUGAGAGCACAACAUUUUUCAGCCAUUUUUGAAGAUUUUUUACAAGUCUUCAGUAAACUAACUAGAGAAGGGAUUGGAUUGGUUUUAAGCACAUUGCUGAGAUUAUCUGGGAGUGUUGAAAGAUUAGAAAGAGCCAUUACAGCAUCAAACUUGGCUUGUGAACUUCCACUCCUAAGGAUUUCCACAAGCAGGGGAAUGGCACCAGAAGCACUUAUAAUCGGCUUGUUAGCGGUAGAUGCAGAUAGAGUAAGCAAAGAUGCUGUUGCAUACUCCUGUAAGUUUAAAUUCUGUGACUGAAGAAAGCUGAUUAUCGGUUCUAAGGCUCCAGCUUCAACAAUGCUUUUCUUGUUCCUGAAAAAUAAGACUUGGUUAGAUGAAUUUGGAGAAAGUAAAACCAUUAAAAGUGAAAUUUGCGAUGCCUAACCUCUUGUCAAACAGAGGGCAUACAAUAAAAGGCAUCAACGUUAAGUCUCCAUUGCAAAGUUAGCACAAACAAACAGUCCAGGUUUUAAACAUCACAAUACCAAUACACAGUAGGAUGGAGCAAAUGGAAAUUAAAAGACAGUAGCAAGUCAGUCAAACUCGGAAUAUGCACACAGCAACUUCCAAAUAGUCGGGGAUUAGCAAGAUAAAUAUCUGCACCACGAGUACAUUUGUACCACUAUCACAAUUCCUGAGAUUUUUGCAUCUGUUUGGAAAUGAAAUUUCAGUUUCUCAAAAUGAUCCAAUUCCAAUAAAUGAUGUCCUAUAAAAGAUGGAAUAUCAACUAAAAUUACUUUCUUGAUCUAGAGCCCAAAAAAAUCUCUCUAGUUCAAGAUUUUUAUGCCAGCAGCAAAACCGAAAUGAUUUUCUUAUCACAUAGGUAAUUGAAUUUGUGGGGUCUCUGCUCCAUCUUCGAGAACCUUCCUCUUAUCUCCCCUAAAACUAAAGCAAUGGAAAAGCUCCAUCAUCUAGGACCUAAUGUAAUUGCAAAACGAAAAUGUUUGUAAUUCGUGAUAAACAACAACUUAAUCCAAAAUGAAAGGAAAGUGCCUCUCCCUGACCCUCUGUCCCUGUUCCUCACCAAACUGAUCCCGUUAUUGUGACAUCAUAUCUUGAAAGAAAAGAUAAAAGAUAAAAGAAAAAGGCGAGGAGAUUAAAAAAAGAAAAGGCGAAAGAGUGUCCUGGGAAGCAAAGAACCACCACCUCCGCUUCCAAUCAAAUGGUUUCAACGAUAAAAGGAUCCAAUUCCUCCUUUAUAAAGGGUUAACUGAUUCGGAAAAGCACCGACACAUUUUGAUAACACCCAAAACAAAUACAUGACAUUAAUUUAAUCAUAACAUGAUUCAGGAUAUUUAACAGCUAAGGAUCAUUGAACCCUACAAUCAACAUGAAAUUUUAAACCCCUCUUUUAGAAAUCCAAUUUCCAAUAAAGCUACUUCAGAAUUCCAUGAAUUAAAUAACAAAACCUUUUACUUUUUCUGAAAAAAAAAA